Molecule: small RNA, 1275 nt
Filed under: Homo sapiens (human)
Lineage: Eukaryota; Metazoa; Chordata; Mammalia; Primates; Hominidae
Description: coiled-coil domain containing 197 (ENSG00000280668.2)
Source: RNAcentral
GAGUCAGCUAGGCCCCUUCCUCCUCCAGUGCCUGUCUACCUAUGUUUGAUGCUUGGGGCUAGAAAGACUGACCUUGUAGCCCCUCACCUUCUCUCCCCAAUGCACUGGGCUGGUUCAGCAGCUGACCAAUGAGGGUCAUGCUUGCAUACUGGCCUUGGGUGAGUGGCUCAGGAACAGUUUGCAAGACCGUGUUGAAGCUACUUGUAACUAGACCAUUUUCCCAGCUUGACCAUGAGCUUCUUCAAGGCAUCUCUUCUCAGUCUCCACUGUAGCUCUGUGGGGAUGCUAACCCUGGCUUCCAAGGAUCUGAAGAGGAAGCUGCGGCUGUGACUGUCCCUUUUCGGUCUGUCUUCAUCCUGCCUGACUCACGGGUCUCCUGUCCUCCUGCAUAGCUUGCGGUGGUGAGGUGAUGGCAGCCAUGGACACAGGCCAGAGAGCUGACCCAAGCAAUCCUGGUGACAAGGAAGGGGACCUUCAAGGGCUGUGGCAGGAACUCUACCAGCUCCAGGCUAAGCAGAAGAAGCUCAAGAGAGAAGUCGAGAAGCACAAGCUUUUUGAAGACUAUCUGAUUAAGGUCCUUGAGAAAAUCCCCGAGGGCUGCACGGGAUGGGAGGAGCCGGAGGAGGUGCUGGUGGAGGCCACGGUGAAGCACUACGGGAAGCUCUUCACAGCCAGCCAGGACACGCAGAAGCGCCUCGAGGCCUUCUGCCAGAUGAUCCAGGCUGUCCACCGGAGCCUGGAGUCUCUGGAGGAGGACCACAGGGCUCUCAUAGCCUCAAGAUCCGGCUGUGUCAGCUGCAGAAGAAGUGCUACCGCAAGCAGGAGCAGUGGUGGCAGCUGAAGCACAGCAUCACUUACCAGAAGGACAUUGACUUUGACACACACACCAGCAGCAGCUAUAAUGAUCAGCUGCUCGGCUACAUGCAAAUGACCAUCACCAACAUGGCCCGGCAGUGCUGCCCCUCUGCCCACGGCGUGCCCAAGAGCAUGGAUCUCUUCUCCAAGCUCGAUCUGAUUAAGGAGUUCAUGUUGGACAAAAUGGAGACUGUAAGACUGAUCGCACUGCUCACGGAACCCAAAGUGUGCUGGUCAUGGGACAGCUUCGGGGACCAGUGGCUCAGAAGACACCCCAAACCCUUCAGGAAAUGUCCAAGGAGGCGGGUUUCCACCCCCAGGACCCCCUUUCCCAGCCCCCAUGCUUCAGAGUGCUCCGGCCUGUACUGACCAGCCUGCGCCUUGCAGGCCCCAUGGCAUCACGACCUCUCCUUACCUGCC